Molecule: long non-coding RNA, 777 nt
Organism: Fundulus heteroclitus (mummichog)
Lineage: Eukaryota; Metazoa; Chordata; Actinopteri; Cyprinodontiformes; Fundulidae
Exons: 3
Source: RefSeq, a predicted model, not a curated record
CAGCAAAACCAUCAACGCAAAGAAGAAAAAAAAAAACUCACCAAUACUACGUCAUCCAACCGUCUGGCCAAUCAAGGCACGAGAAGAAACGAGUUUUCGUGUCUGAUUGGUCAAUUGCAGUGUCGGCUCAAGAAAGCUGGUUUGAGUUGAUGGCAAGCUAGAGGGAACUAAAGGUGGUUUCCAGUAGAGGGCUGGUCAAGAUGUGUGGUCUGAAUCUUCCCUUACUGUCCUUCUGUCCUGCUGGGAAGAUGAGGUGACCGGCUCCUGCUGCUGCUGCAGGAAGUUCUCUGAGCUGUGUCAAUGGAGCACCAUGUGGUUUUUAAUGAUGAUAGUUGAAAUCCAGAAUAAUCUAAAACUAUAAAACCCAGAUAAUAGUUGUUACAUUUAAUAAUGGAACUAAAAGAGCGGCGCCACAUUUAUUAACGUUGCAACACUACUCUUGUGUUAUUCUAACCCAUCUAAUUAUCAUUUAUGGUUGUGUGUGGUUCUGGUGGGUUGUCUUUUGUUCACCUUUAACAGGGGUCUAACAAUGGUUCGGGCUCAGGUCCUGCAACUUUCUGAUGUGUCACAAGUCCAACACACCUGAAUCACAGGACUGGAUUCCCUCCUCAGGCACUCAGGUACUACAGAGUCCUGGCAAUGACCUAAUUAUUCGAUUCAGCUGUGUCGACAAGGAGAUGCAUCUGAAAGUUUCAGGAUAGCGGCCCUGGAAGACUGGAGUUUGAAAACUGCGACCUGUACGAUGCGUUUGCGCCGUCUUGUGGUGUAAAAAGGUAA